This 1100-nucleotide long non-coding RNA is filed under the name Chinchilla lanigera (long-tailed chinchilla). RNAcentral's name for it is "lncRNA (ENSCLAG00000028999.1)". The record is from RNAcentral. Lineage: Eukaryota; Metazoa; Chordata; Mammalia; Rodentia; Chinchillidae.
AAGAGAAAGAUCCAGUCUGCUCUUAUCCUUGACAAUGGACCAGUCAGGGACAUUGACAGACGAGAAACACCUUAGGGGAAAGGUGCUGAGUCACAAAACCAAGGAGUGAUGUUCUUUCUCAGGGAAGGAGAGAAUGCCAGAGCCAGGUGUGGGUGAAAAAGCCCAGUCUGUGGACCCAGUGGUCAGUUAUCCUAGCCCUGCCACUGAGUGCUGGGCAACCCGGGGCAGGUUACUCAAUGUCUCAGAGCCUCAGUUUCUCCAUCUGUAAAAUGGGCAGGUAAAGCCCAUGCUAUGAUCGGUGCAGGGCUGGGUUGGGAUUCAGUGACAGCGCUCACCUCCAGCAUGGCCCUUGGCACAGGUCAGGACAGAAUGCGUUGCUCCCCACUGUCCAUCCUCAGGCCUACUGGAGAAGCAGGGUCUCUCUAGAUCAUGGAGGUGUGGAAGGGCAUUCCAGGUGCAGGGAGCAGCCUGUGCAAAGGCCCAGAAACCAGAGGGGGUCAGGAGUGCUUGGGGAGAAGCAUGCAGUGUCCCUGGGGUGUCACAGAGUGGGGUGAAGCUGCUGGGAGCCAUGAUGUGCAGAGGGAGGGCUGCUGUACUCUUUGUGGUACCUACAUCAGUCUGGGCAUGGAAUGUCACUUGCCUCCUGGGACCCCCCCCUCAGCCAGAAAGGAGCAGAAAAGUCAAACAACGACAACAGAAUCAUCAGAAAGAGAAGAGGUGCUCCCGGGCAAACCCCAUUCCUCACUACACAGAGUAACUGGAUCUGACACCCAGCAUGGGAAUGUUGGAGGUGUUGAGAAGACCUGGCCAACUUAUAUUCUGACCCAAAGAACUGGGUUUAAGUAUGUUCCCCUCAAAUGUCAGCUGGGGAGUAGAAGAACAAGUCUCCUGAUGAGCCCAGGGCAUGCCACCAGCCCAGAACAGAUUGGGAGAAGCAGCCCGAGGGGCCUCAGAGAAGAGGAAGAGGAGGCACCAACAGUAGGAAAUGGGCUUCACAUGCUGCCACCUUCUGGGGCUCUGGGUGUGGCUGGGCAUGUUACCAGUAAUAAAGAGUGGGGAUUGCAUAUCUGGACACCAGGCCGAGUCGCACUGCCAUCCUG